Long non-coding RNA from Canis lupus familiaris (dog), 1179 nucleotides. RefSeq lists it as uncharacterized. Lineage: Eukaryota; Metazoa; Chordata; Mammalia; Carnivora; Canidae. The transcript has 2 exons. The record is from RefSeq and is a predicted model, not a curated record.
CGGGGCGCCCGCGAGCGGCUCGGCGGGGUUGCCCGACCCCAGGGCGGCGGCCGCGGUCACCGCCCUCGCCCCGCGGUUCCCCGCAGCGACUGGUUCCUGCCGCGGCUCCGGGUUUCCUUCCGCGAAAUGAAAGCGGGCGGCGGCGCGUCGGUAGGAGCAGCGGCUCCGGGCUAGAGAGCAGCUGCUCCCAUCCCGCAGUGUCUCGUAACGGACCGUGCCAAAGUCAGCCGUGAUCUGAAGAUGGAAGCUGUUCUUUGAGAGAAGAUGAAGAUUGGAGCGGGGGUGCGGCGGGGAGAGCAUUCCACAGGAAGUGCUACGGGGGCCUGCACCUGGGGAAGGAGGAAUCCAGCCAAGGGAGGGGGAGGCUGAUGUGGCUGGAAUGGGUGGUGCCACCUGGGCGAGGAGGCGGCACCAGAGGUCGGCUGGGUCCCUGCGGCGAUGGCCACUCACCCGAGGACGUCGACCGUCCUGCUGCUCGGAGCGGCGUCUCCCCAGCUCCGCCGGCCCGGCCUCCCUCCACAAACCGGUUCCCCGCGGCCCGCGGUGCAAGGGUCCAAUCUUGUCGCAUGGCUGCAUCCCGAGUCCCUGCACCGGGGUGAACUGUCAAACUGGGAAUCCCGGAGGCAACGUGGCCUCGUUCAACAGCAAGCCUUCCUGGCGGGCAAAGCUCUGGCGCCCCGGAGCCUUUGUGAGGAGGCGCCAACCAAAGGCCUCUUAGUUGGGGGAUCCGCGUCCUGGGCCCCCGCUGCCGCCUCAUCCCCGGGCCUCAGGCCCGACGGAACGGGCGUCACUUGCCCCGAAGCCUCGCUGAGCAGUGGACGGCUCCCUCCGAGGGGAAGGCUGGAGGCCGUGCUCCCACCUCGGCUCUGCCUCGGUCAUCCCCGUGCCCUGGAGCCGCGGGGACGGAGGACACCCCCGACACGCUGGCAGUGCACACAAGACGUAAAUGAACAUACACGAGCUGCGUGACACACGAUACCGGCUCCUGAAGUAGACCCUGGAAAGGGCCAGUGUCCUUUCUCCCUAUACUUCCCGGCCCCUUAAGUACUGAAACACUAUCAGUACCCCACAAUAUCAGACCCACAGGCAGAACACACGUCAGAGCUCCAAUCCCCUCGACAAUCCUCAUAAAUGAUUAGCCCCCACUGAGCUCUUCCAAAAAAAAUUCUUUUUGCACUA